UACGUAGGGGGCGAGCGUUGUCCGGAAUCACUGGGUGUAAAGGGUGCUCAGGCGGAUCGGUAAGUCAGAGGUGAAAUUUCACAGCUUAACUGUGAAUGUGCUUUUGAUACUGUCGGUCUAGAGUUCAGAAGAGGGCAAUGGAAUUCUUGGUGUAGCGGUGAAAUGCGUAGAUAUCAAGAAGAACACCAGUUGCGAAGGCGGUUGCCUGGUCUGUAACUGACGCUCAAGCACGAAAGCGUGGGGAUCAAACAGG
RNAcentral lists this ribosomal RNA (253 nucleotides) under uncultured bacterium. Its description in RNAcentral is "partial 16S ribosomal RNA". It matches the Rfam family "Bacterial small subunit ribosomal RNA", at positions 524 to 776 of the family's 1533-position model. The record is from RNAcentral.